CCUACGGGAGGCAGCAGUGGGGAAUAUUGGGCAAUGGGCGCAAGCCUGACCCAGCAACGCCGCGUGAAGGAAGAAGGCUUUCGGGUUGUAAACUUCUUUUCUCAGGGACGAAGAAAGUGACGGUACCUGCGGAAUAAGACACGGCUAACUACGUGCCAGCAGCCGCGGUAAUACGUAGGUGGCACGCGUUAUCCGGCGUUAUUGGGGGUAAAGGGCGUGUAGGCGGGUGCGAAAGUCAGAGGUGAAAACUCAGGGCUCAACCCGGAGCCUGCAUUUGAUACUGUUGUUCUUGAGUGCUGGAGAGGCAAUCGGAAUUCCGGGUGUAGCGGUGAAAUGCGUAGAUAUACGGAGGAACACCAGUGGCGAAGGCGGAUUGCUGGACAGUAACUGACGCUGAGGCGCGAAAGCGUGGGGAGCAAACAGGAUUAGAUACCCUUGUAGUC
RNAcentral lists this ribosomal RNA (443 nucleotides) under uncultured bacterium. RNAcentral describes it as "partial 16S ribosomal RNA". It matches the Rfam family "Bacterial small subunit ribosomal RNA", at positions 338 to 795 of the family's 1533-position model. The record is from RNAcentral.